GAUUCCUAGAAGAGUGCUUCCUUCCACUUACAUUGGUGGUGCUGACCCCGCCAACAUUCUC
This 61-nucleotide transfer RNA is filed under the name Aleuritopteris squamosa. RNAcentral's name for it is "tRNA-Val". The record is from RNAcentral. Lineage: Eukaryota; Viridiplantae; Streptophyta; Polypodiopsida; Polypodiales; Pteridaceae.